RNAcentral lists this ribosomal RNA (253 nucleotides) under uncultured bacterium. Its description in RNAcentral is "partial 16S ribosomal RNA". It matches the Rfam family "Bacterial small subunit ribosomal RNA", at positions 524 to 776 of the family's 1533-position model. The record is from RNAcentral.
UACAGAGGUCUCAAGCGUUGUUCGGAUUCAUUGGGCGUAAAGGGUGCGUAGGUGGGUAAGUAAGUCAGUGGUGAAAUCUUCGAGCUUAACUCGGAAACUGCCAUUGAUACUAUUUAUCUUGAAUACUUUGGAGGUAAGCGGAAUAUGUCAUGUAGCGGUGAAAUGCUUAGAUAUGACAUAGAACACCAAUUGCGAAGGCAGCUUACUACACAGUUAUUGACACUGAGGCACGAAAGCGUGGGGAUCAAACAGG